Non-coding RNA from Pelodiscus sinensis (Chinese soft-shelled turtle), 1843 nucleotides. The record is from RefSeq and is a predicted model, not a curated record. Lineage: Eukaryota; Metazoa; Chordata; Testudines; Trionychidae.
CAUUGUCCUGCAUUUUGCUUCAACUACCCCAGACUAACACGGCUACAUUUCUAUCACUAUUCUAAGCACAGCACAGCCUUCACCGAACCCUCCCUGCCUGUUCUGUGUGGAGUGGGAUGGAGCCGGAGGGGAGGAGACGUGAUGAGACUGGGGAGAUGUUCUCCCCCACCUCUGGGGAAGAGGGCGAUGGCCUGAGCGGUUUCUUGGCUGCUUUCCUUACAGAGCCCCUCACCCCCACUACUAAUCAACUCCAGGGCGCCCCACCCAGUUCUGCUGCACCUCUGUCCUGUCCUGCAGCACCCCUGGGAUUCCAGGCCUGGGUCCCCCACAUACCACCGUCACUGGUUUCUCCUUUCCUCUUGCCCAGACUAGGGUCACCCCUCAAUUGAUACACCUCGGGUAUAACCUAGUCACUGUCACCUCUUCUGAGGCGCAGGGGCACUGGAGGGGAGCCCUAGAGGCAUUACAUCUUAGCAAGCAUAGAUCCUCCUGUUCUCCCAUCCCUGGCUACAUCUCUGGAACUUACCAGGAGAUGUCAGGAUACUCAAAGCCACAGGACUGCAGCCAAGGGCCAUUGUUACUGUGCGCGGGAUGCAGCCAGCUGCAGAAGGGUGACGCGGGUACAAAACAAGGCAGCUUUCUAAUCUAGAAGCAGAGAACGCACCCAACAGUGACGCCAGCCUGGGUCUGCUGUGGAGAGCUCGGCUCUGUCCACGUGGCAGCAGGAAGCGAGUCCUGGCUCAGGCAGACAGACUCCCAUGACCAUGGCAUGAGCUAACGUGCUAAUGCCAGCUGGGGGAUGUUGCGGCUCAGACUCUCAAGCCCACCUGAGCCCCUGGCUCAGAGCAUGGCUCGCUAGCCCAGGUGGCCCCUGGAACCACAGUGUCUGGCAUGCUAGAGCUUGUAUCUCCUAUGCAUGGACAUACCCUAGAGACCUGCGACUGCCCCUUGCUUGUUAAAUGUAAGUUCAUGUGGCUGGCGGCCUGGGGCUUUGGGCACUGAAUGAGACCGGCUGGGCCCCAGACACGGGCCUGCAGUCGGGGGAGAGGAGAGUUGAGACAAAGGGGAAUGAGGGAGGUGAAUAAAAAUGGCCUUUCCCUCCAUGUGCCGGGGCCCUUUGGCAGAUAGGGGAGAAGAUCCUGCUUUGGUACGUUCCGGGGGGUGCUGAGCAGGAGCUGGAGCCUGCUGCCUUGUGCUCUCCAGCUUCCCCAAAACGUCGCUGUCGAAAGAGAAAAGAGUUUACUGGGGAGCGCCCCCGCCUGGAAUUGCCCAGCUUAGCACCGUGGCUUUCGAGUCCAGCUCCUCGGGACUGGCUGUAGGUGGUGCUAUUGGCAAGUAACUUUCCUUUCUCUCCUGUGCAGUGGCUUUUGACUUUGACUUAGGCAGGCCUGCCCUGGAGAACUGAAUGGCAGAAGUAACCCCCCUCCGCCAAGUGCCCCCCAGUCACGCAGGGGGCUGCCCUAGGCAGGAACAGGAAGUUACAUGGCCACCCCUGGCAGUGAAUCACCGCAAGCACCCCAUUUAGACCAAGCCUGGAAAUGAAUUCGCUCAGGCAGUCCACAGCCUCUGCCUGCAUCUGCUCUGGGACCCGCCUGAAAGUGCCGCUCCCACCUCAGCCACAAGGGGAGAGCCCAGGGCAGAGAAUCCGCGGUGCCUGAGCAGAGCCAGCACAUGCGAUGCUCUGCCUCCGAGCGAGAGCCACACACGGAAGGCAGCGGGUGCUUGGAGCUUCCGCCCAGUCGCUCUCCUUCCCUCUGGCCAUGGUGAAGGCUGCUCAAGUGGGAUUUGCGUAAAGCCUCUUGCUGUAAAAUAAAUCCAUUAAAGUAAAUUCUGAAAACAAAAC